CCUACGGGUGGCAGCAGUGGGGAAUAUUGGACAAUGGGGGGAACCCUGAUCCAGCCAUGCCGCGUGUGUGAAGAAGGCCCUCGGGUUGUAAAGCACUUUCAGUGAGGAAGAACGCCUGGUGGUUAAUACCCAUCAGGAAAGACAUCACUCACAGAAGAAGCACCGGCUAACUCCGUGCCAGCAGCCGCGGUAAUACGGAGGGUGCGAGCGUUAAUCGGAAUUACUGGGCGUAAAGCGCGCGUAGGUGGCUUGAUAAGCCGGUUGUGAAAGCCCCGGGCUCAACCUGGGAACGGCAUCCGGAACUGUCAAGCUAGAGUGCAGGUGAGGAAGGUAGAAUUCCCGGUGUAGCGGUGAAAUGCGUAGAGAUCGCGAGGAAUACCAGUGGCGAAGGCGGCCUUCUGGACUGACACUGACACUGAGGUGCGAAAGCGUGGGUAGCAAACAGGAUUAGAUACCCGUGUAGUC
This 465-nucleotide ribosomal RNA is filed under the name Vreelandella stevensii. RNAcentral's name for it is "partial 16S ribosomal RNA". It matches the Rfam family "Bacterial small subunit ribosomal RNA", at positions 338 to 795 of the family's 1533-position model. The record is from RNAcentral. Lineage: Bacteria; Pseudomonadati; Pseudomonadota; Gammaproteobacteria; Oceanospirillales; Halomonadaceae.